CAGAGUUGCAAACUCCCAAACCCAUCGCUGAACAGUACCAGACGUCGUUGCCUCGGCGGAUCAGCCCGCUCCGGUAACGGGACGGCCGCCAGAGACCUCUGAAGUCUCGGCUCUCUGAGUAUGUACUUCUGAUUAAACCAUAAUAAUCA
This 149-nucleotide unclassified non-coding RNA is filed under the name soil metagenome. RNAcentral's name for it is "partial internal transcribed spacer 1". The record is from RNAcentral.